UACGAAGGGGGCUAGCGUUGUUCGGAAUGACUGGGCGUAAAGGGCGCGUAGGCGGUUUUUUAAGUGAGACGUGAAAGCCCUGGGCUUAACCCAGGAGGUGCGUUUCAUACUGGAAAGCUUGAGUACGAGAGAGGAAAGCGGAAUUCCUAGUGUAGAGGUGAAAUUCGUAGAUAUGAGGAAGAACACCAGUGGCGAAGGCGGCUUUCUGGCUCGUAACUGACGCUGAGGCGCGAAAGCGUGGGGAGCAAACAGG
RNAcentral lists this ribosomal RNA (253 nucleotides) under uncultured bacterium. RNAcentral describes it as "partial 16S ribosomal RNA". It matches the Rfam family "Bacterial small subunit ribosomal RNA", at positions 524 to 776 of the family's 1533-position model. The record is from RNAcentral.